This 406-nucleotide ribosomal RNA is filed under the name uncultured bacterium. Its description in RNAcentral is "partial 16S ribosomal RNA". It matches the Rfam family "Bacterial small subunit ribosomal RNA", at positions 29 to 526 of the family's 1533-position model. The record is from RNAcentral.
AUUGAACGCUGGCGGCAGGCCUAACACAUGCAAGUCGAACGAGUGGCGGACGGGUGAGUAAUGUCUGGGAAACUGCCUGAUGGAGGGGGAUAACUACUGGAAACGGUAGCUAAUACCGCAUACCAUCGGAUGUGCCCAGAUGGGAUUAGCUAGUAGGUGGGGUAAAGGCUCACCUAGGCGACGAUCCCUAGCUGGUCUGAGAGGAGGACAAGCAAAACUGAAACUGGAAAACGGUCAAGACUCUUACGGGAGGCAGCAUGGGGGAAUAUUGGAAAAUGGGGGAAAGCCUGAUGCAGCCAUGCCGCGUGUAUGAGGAAGGCCUUGGAGUUGUAAAGUACGUUCAGCGAGGAGGCGGUACCCACAGAAGAAGCGCCGGCUAACUCCGUGCCAGCAGCCGCGGUAAUAC